UAGACGUGGAUGUCGUAUUUCGAUGAUUC
This 29-nucleotide non-coding RNA is filed under the name Bombyx mori (domestic silkworm). Lineage: Eukaryota; Metazoa; Arthropoda; Insecta; Lepidoptera; Bombycidae. The record is from RNAcentral.